Molecule: ribosomal RNA, 424 nt
Filed under: uncultured cyanobacterium
Lineage: Bacteria; Bacillati; Cyanobacteriota
Description: bacterial SSU rRNA
Rfam family: Bacterial small subunit ribosomal RNA
Source: RNAcentral
GGGGAAUUUUCCGCAAUGGGUGCAAGUUUGACGGAGCAAUACCGCGUGAGGGAAGAAGGCUUUUGGGUUGUAAACCUCUUUUCUCAGGGAAGAAGCAAUGACGGUACCUGAGGAAUCAGCAUCGGCUAACUCCGUGCCAGCAGCCGCGGUAAUACGGAGGAUGCAAGCGUUAUCCGGAAUUAUUGGGCGUAAAGCGUCCGCAGGUGGCUAGUCAAGUCUGCGGUCAAAGACAGAAGCUAAACUUCUGGAAGGCCGUGGAAACGGGCAAGCUAGAGUACGGUAGGGGUAGAGGGAAUUCCCAGUGUAGCGGUGAAAUGCGUAGAGAUUGGGAAGAACAUCAGUGGCGAAAGCGCUCUACUGGGCCUGUACUGACACUGAGGGACGAAAGCUAGGGGAGCGAAAGGGAUUAGAUACCCCUGUAGUC